Molecule: non-coding RNA, 2220 nt
Organism: Myodes glareolus (Bank vole)
Lineage: Eukaryota; Metazoa; Chordata; Mammalia; Rodentia; Cricetidae
Source: RefSeq, a predicted model, not a curated record
GCUGGUGGUACAGAGAAAGACUUGAUACAGCCAGCCUACGUUGUAUCUUCUGGAAGCUGCAGUUGGUACUGUGCAAGAGUCUCCCAGGUGGUACUGGAUUUCAAGGCAUGAAGGGGUCGUGGAGAGCAGCUGAAGCCUGUCACUGUGAGAGGCCAAGAGAGGUCGUUGGUGAAGUUACAGUCAGAGCAGCCGAUGAAGCUCCAAGGUUGGAGAUGUCCUAAAGAGAGGCUUGGCACCAUGAGAAGAGCCUCUGAGAGGCUAUUGCUGAAAGUGAAGCCCAGUUGCAGCAAGAGAUCCAAGAAUUUUGGAGGUGCCAGUCCCAUGGGAUGACUGCCAUAUCAACGGCAGCAGCGGAAUAGAAGGCAGAUGGAGCCUAGAAGGAAGCUGUGUGUGUUGUGGAGAACAGAAAAUUGUAAGUCCAUCCUAGACAGUGGAUUCUGAGUUAUUUACGGUUGGAGUUUGGCUUUGCUUCACUUUGUGACUGUGCCCUGGUUCUUCCUUCUUGAACCAUGUGGAGUGGAUAUUUAUCCUCAUUUCCGCGACAAGAAAAUUAUUUGGUGAGGCGAUUGGGAUCUAUUUAUCCAGCUAGAAGUGUCAUGCCAAAACCAGAGCCUUUUCGCAAUUCUGGGUGAUUUCCAGAGAUGUUCUCUGUGCGGAGACUAUCAGAGUUGAGAAAUGGAGGAGGCAGAGACCACCUGAUCUUCUCACGAAACCAUCACUUUUACAUGUAUACUUCUGCAGGCAUGCGGCCAGACAAGCAGCUAUAGGGAAAAGAAAGGCGCUUGGGAAGUUCCAGAAGCAUGCGGGAAAGUGAGUCCCAGUGUGUCCUUUCCUUUCCGUUAACACAAAUAAAGUUCCAUCCAAGUUUGUCUUACCACCCCCAGAAUUAGUUACAAUUUUGGCUACCUAAUUUCAGGGAAAUUAAACAGUCUUUUUUGGUCUUCUGUACAAAAUGUUGAUAAGAAGGAGUAAACUGUCGGGCCCUUUUGUCCUGUAAUCUUGACCUCUGGAUUUCUAAAGAAUGUGCUCGUUUUUCUUUGUCACCAGCUCUGUUGGAACUGAAAGGAAAAUAAAUUGAAUUCUGUAAACAGAGUUCAGAAAGACGCAGUCUGGUUCCAGGAAAGGAUCCACGCCGGCGCUCUAUUCAACAUGGCUUGAGCCGGCAGCUUCAGAUUUGCUGGGAAGCCCCUGAGUAGCUCGGAGAGCUGCUUGUACAAAGGGCAAUUGCUGUCAUUAAAAACAAUGGAUGUUUGGGCUCCUGAGUGACUCUGUGAAGAAGAAAAUAUUUAUUAAAGUUUGGUCUGUAUAUUCGAGGAAAAACUAGAAACCCAGAGAUGGUAGCGACAGCAACAGCAGCAGCAACAACAAAAAGCAGUGGAGAAAGAGAAGAAAAAUGCUCAAGUGAUUAAUAUUUAUUAUUGUUAUUGGGAUGGUUUGUGUUUUAUGUUUGGUGCUAUUUUCCUUUAAAACAAGGCAAACUGGAAGAAUAAUAGUGGAGCCACUUAGGUAAAGAGGGAAUUUUGAGGUCCUUGUUACUUGGAUUACAACCCUAGCUUCUGUUUCCACUUCUAAAUCCAAGUCUAUUAUUUGAUUUAUUUAGCCCAUCUGUCUGAUAAGGCUUUUUUUCCCUUCCUUAUGAUUCACUGCCUUUAAUGUGAAUUAAGCAACGACAAGACCUUUGUUUAAAGGCCAGCCUUCACAGACUUUUAAUUUCCCUCUGGAUCUCACAGCUAGCCCUCAAAUAAUUCCUGUUCAAACAGCUGCCAAAAUGCUUUCCUAGAGAAGGGCCAUAGAGGCUGAGUCUUAAAUCCAGGAGGGCUGUGAUCAAGGCAACAGCUUUUUCUGGCUUGGAGUUUGCAUGCAUUUGGCGGGCUACCGAAGAGGAUUAAGUAAUCAUUCUUGUGGAACCAAACGGAAAUGCACCUGGACACCAGUUCUUUGGGUAAACGCUUCUUACACAGAGGCUGGAAGCUUAUCAAGGAUGGCUGGCAUGGAUCAAGAACUGAGACAUGGAGAUCCAGGACCGUUUUGAAAGAUAACCAACCCAGACACUUGGGCUCACAUGCUGUGUGUUUGAGGCAAGCUGGAGUCACGGAGAAAGCUGAGGUCUUGACAGCACGGUCAGAUAGCCAGCCACCAGGGUGGGACAGUUGAAAUACUUAUUGGAAGAGCCACCUCAAACAUCAGGAAUCUCAAAUAAAAAACACAUUUGACACCCGC